This 253-nucleotide ribosomal RNA is filed under the name uncultured bacterium. RNAcentral describes it as "partial 16S ribosomal RNA". It matches the Rfam family "Bacterial small subunit ribosomal RNA", at positions 524 to 776 of the family's 1533-position model. The record is from RNAcentral.
UACGAAGGGGGCUAGCGUUGUUCGGAUUUACUGGGCGUAAAGCGCACGUAGGCGGUCUGUUGCGUCGGCUGUGAAAACCCGGGGCUCAACCCCGGGCCUGCAGCCGAUACGGGCAGACUAGAGUUCGGCAGGGGAGACUGGAAUUCCUGGUGUAGCGGUGAAAUGCGCAGAUAUCAGGAGGAACACCGGUGGCGAAGGCGGGUCUCUGGGCCGAUACUGACGCUGAGGAGCGAAAGCGUGGGGAGCGAACAGG